This 187-nucleotide ribosomal RNA is filed under the name uncultured Pseudomonadales bacterium. RNAcentral's name for it is "partial 16S ribosomal RNA". It matches the Rfam family "Bacterial small subunit ribosomal RNA", at positions 139 to 334 of the family's 1533-position model. Lineage: Bacteria; Pseudomonadati; Pseudomonadota; Gammaproteobacteria; Pseudomonadales. The record is from RNAcentral.
GGGGAUAGCUCGGGGAAACUCGAAUUAAUACCGCAUACGACCUACGGGUGAAAGGGGGCGCAAGCUCUUGCUAUUAGAUGAGCCUAAAUCAGAUUAGCUAGUUGGUGAGGUAAAGGCCCACCAAGGCGACGAUCUGUAACUGGUCUGAGAGGAUGAUCAGUCACACCGGAACUGAGACACGGUCCGG